CAGAGUCAGCUGGUCACAAAGAUGGCAAUUCUGGAAGAAAUAAUUGUCGCACCCUUGGUGGUAGCUUUCUCCUGGUGAUGGUCGAUGGCCUCACAAUAAGGAUUUGGUGAUAGUGUAAUGGGGGCUUGGUGAGAGGUUGUGAGCCAGAAGAGUUCGCAGCCCAAUUGGGAGCUGGGAAGGCGGUUUUGUCCCAGCAGUUGAAACUGUUCCAACACGUGGGAUCCCUGGGAACAAGCUGGGUGCCGGAAAAGGUUGUAUUGUUUUGUUAAUUAU
Pelobates cultripes (western spadefoot toad) is the source of this 273-nucleotide non-coding RNA. The record is from the annotation of a GenBank genome assembly. NCBI's taxonomy places the organism in Eukaryota, Metazoa, Chordata, Amphibia, Anura, Pelobatidae.